Salmo salar (Atlantic salmon) is the source of this 843-nucleotide non-coding RNA. The record is from RefSeq and is a predicted model, not a curated record. Lineage: Eukaryota; Metazoa; Chordata; Actinopteri; Salmoniformes; Salmonidae.
CUAAUCCCCCUGCUACUGCCUUCUCUGUGGUGCUGUGGCUGGGCUACUUUAACUCCACUGUCAACCCCAUCCUGUACCCGGCCCUGAACAGGGACUUCCGCAGGGCCUAUGAGGAGCUGCUGUGCUGGAUGGGGGCUAGCGUGGAGACACACGUCCACAACUAUCUGUGUGUCCCUGCAGAAACGAGUGCCAUCUUUCUAAUGCACACAGAGACACUCAUCUGACCAAUGGCCACAGAGACACCCUCCUCAAGGACAAUCAACCAGAGGGGAAGAGCCUCACACUGCAGGAGAGAAACAGCAGCACCAUCGCUGACCAGACCAGAUGAGCCAGACAGACACAUAACACAGGUGCAGCAUGUCCACUCAGAGCUAUGUUGGAUGGAUUCUAGGAGGUUGGCGGAGGGGAAAGAAGGACAUCUAGAAGUGUCAUCCAGAGAUCCUGUAAAUAAUGUACCCCUGCGUCAACAGCUAGGCUGGAGAGUUCCACUGGGAAUAGGUUCCCUCACAUCAGUGGUUCCCAAACCCUUUUGUGUCGUGACAUCUUCCUGUCACAGCCGACAGCUCUAUCUGAGACCCGGCAGAAAUAACUGACCCACUAUUUGGAAAGUACUGGCUCACAUCAACCCAACCACCCCCACAUUCACGUGUUGCCGAGAUACACUCACCCGUUCUACCAUAAUGUAGCAUGUGACAUUUGCAAUAUGACACUUUACGUUUGGCUGUUUAUCAGAAUGUGGAGUCAUUUCCUGAUGGCUUUUCCUGAUGGGAUUCUCUGCCUCUAACCCUUUUACAGGGGCUGAGUCACUGGCUUACUGGUGUUCUUCCAUGCCGUCCAUGGGAG